CCUUUGAAAAGGCUCAGAGAGGCCAACAGUGCCCUGGGAUAUCUCACACUGAGGUAACCCCAAGGCACGGGGAGCUGCAGGAGAAAGGGUGAACAGCGCGGGCUCUUUGCUGGAUUAUCACCGCUGAAAGGAACUGCAAAGCAUCCAACUCCACAAAUGAAAGAUGUUAAUAGAGCGGUCCCAGCGGAGGGAGAGGCUGUAGAUUACGUGGAGCUGCUUUCACAUCCUGCGAAAUGUGCAGAUUUAAAUAACAUUCCCCUCUCACAAGGAUAAAUCUCAGCGCUCGCCACAAAGAACCGCAGCCCGGGCCCACGCCAGGCUCCUCCAGAGGGCUCGUGGGAGACAUGGCUGAUGCACUGAAGACCUGGAAUUUGUGUCCCCUGCUCCAUGCAGUGGUCCCAAACAGCUCCACUAGGACACCACAACAACAGGCAGCAGAUCCCAGGAGGGUUUUCUCCUGCUGCUUUACAACAAAGGACUUGGGAGGUUGAGAAGGGGAGUUUCCCACCCCACUGAGAAGGUCUCAAAUAUCCUGCUAACCCAACAUAGCGUUUCAUCUGCAGUUUUUCAGUUCUGACAGACAAGGAGAGGAAAAAAAAAUCAAUUUCAGAGCUCCAAAUACAACCCAUUCUUUAACAGUU
Molecule: long non-coding RNA, 641 nt
Organism: Pipra filicauda (Wire-tailed manakin)
Lineage: Eukaryota; Metazoa; Chordata; Aves; Passeriformes; Pipridae
Exons: 4
Source: RefSeq, a predicted model, not a curated record